GCCGGGUGUGGUGGUGUGUGCCUGUAGUCCCAGCUGCUGGGGAGGCUGAGACAGGAGAAUUGCUUGAACCUGGGAGGCAGGGGUUGCAGUGAGCCAAGAUCUUGCCACUGUACUCCAGCCUGGGUGACAGAGUAAGACUCUGUCUCAA
Molecule: non-coding RNA, 148 nt
Organism: Gorilla gorilla gorilla (western lowland gorilla)
Lineage: Eukaryota; Metazoa; Chordata; Mammalia; Primates; Hominidae
Rfam family: Metazoan signal recognition particle RNA
About the family: The signal recognition particle (SRP) is a universally conserved ribonucleoprotein.
Source: Rfam